AGUGAACGCUGGCGGUAGGCCUAACACAUGCAAGUCGAACGGCAGCACAGUAAGAGCUUGCUCUUACGGGUGGCGAGUGUCGGACGGGUGAGGAAUACAUCGGAAUCUACUUUUUCGUGGGGGAUAACGUAGGGAAACUUACGCUAAUACCGCAUACGACCUACGGGUGAAAGCAGGGGAUCUUCGGACCUUGCGCGAUUGAAUGAGCCGAUGUCGGAUUAGCUAGUUGGCGGGGUAAAGGCACACCAAGGCGACGAUCCGUAGCUGGUCUGAGAGGAUGAUCAGAUACACUGGAACAGAGACACGGUCGAGACUCCUACGCGAGGCAGCAGUGCGGAAUCUUGGAGAAUGGGGGAGAGCCGGAUCCAGCAAUACCGCGUGGGUGAAGAAGGACUUAGGGUGGUAAAGCCCUUUUGUUGGGAGAGAAAAGCAGCAGGUUAAUACCCCGCUGUUAUGACGGUACCGAAAGAAUAAGCACCGGCUAACUUCGU
This 491-nucleotide ribosomal RNA is filed under the name uncultured bacterium. RNAcentral describes it as "partial 16S ribosomal RNA". It matches the Rfam family "Bacterial small subunit ribosomal RNA", at positions 29 to 506 of the family's 1533-position model. The record is from RNAcentral.